AUUGAACGCUGGCGGCAGGCCUAACACAUGCAAGUCGAACGAGUGGCGGACGGGUGAGAAAUGUCUGGGAAACUGCCCGAGGGAGGGGGAUAACUACUGGAAACGGUAGCUAAUACCGCAUACCAUCGGAUGUGCCCAGAUGGGAUUAGCUAGUAGGUGAGGGAACGGCUCACCCAGGCGACGACACCUAGCUGGUCUGAGAGGAUGACCAGCCACACUGGAACUGAGACACGGUCCAGACUCCUACGGGAGGCAGCAGUGGGGAAUAUUGCACAAUGGGCGCAAGCCUGAUGCAGCCAGGCCGCGUGUAUGAAGAAGGCCUUCGGGUUGUAAAGUACUUUCAGCGAGGAGGCGUUACUCGCAGAAGAAGCACCGGCUAACUCCGUGCCAGCAGCCGCGGUAAUAC
RNAcentral lists this ribosomal RNA (406 nucleotides) under uncultured bacterium. RNAcentral describes it as "partial 16S ribosomal RNA". It matches the Rfam family "Bacterial small subunit ribosomal RNA", at positions 29 to 526 of the family's 1533-position model. The record is from RNAcentral.